UGGGGGAUAUUGCACAAUGGGCGAAAGCCUGAUGCAGCGACGCCGCGUGGGGGAUGAAGGCCUUCGGGUUGUAAACUUCUUUUGCUCUGAACAAGGCAUGCCAAUGGGUGUGUUGAGUGUAGGGGUUGAUUAGCGCCGGCUAACUACGUGCCAGCAGCCGCGGUAAUACGUAGGUCCCGAGCGUUGUCCGGAUUUAUUGGGCGUAAAGCGAGCGCAGGCGGUUAGAAAAGUCUGAAGUGAAAGGCAGUGGCUCAACCAUUGUAGGCUUUGGAAACUGUUUAACUUGAGUGCAGAAGGGGAGAGUGGAAUUCCAUGUGUAGCGGUGAAAUGCGUAGAUAUAUGGAGGAACACCGGUGGCGAAAGCGGCUCUCUGGUCUGUAACUGACGCUGAGGCUCGAAAGCGUGGGGAGCGAACAG
RNAcentral lists this ribosomal RNA (417 nucleotides) under Bacteroidota bacterium. Its description in RNAcentral is "Bacteroidetes bacterium partial 16S ribosomal RNA". It matches the Rfam family "Bacterial small subunit ribosomal RNA", at positions 355 to 775 of the family's 1533-position model. The record is from RNAcentral. Lineage: Bacteria; Pseudomonadati; Bacteroidota.